UUUCAGUUUAUUCCACAGCAUUUCACAUCACCAAUCCACUUCACUCUGGAGUAAUAGAAACAGCAUUCUCUUUUUGACCGACCCUAACCAAUGGGACACCUUUAGGUGUCCAGUGCUACUCUUGAUUAUUUUCAUUGCUGAUCCCUCCCCCAAAGUCUUUAGCAGCACUUGUGCAUGGUUUGGUUGGUUCACCUGCCAAUUUUGCUGCACUUAGAAUUUUAGAACGGCUCUGCAAAUAGAAAGGUGUCCAAGGAAAGACUCUACAUGUUAGGAUAAUUUACUAACUAAUGGUUGCACUGCUAAUUUGAUUUCACUGCUGAUCAGAGAUAGGAAGAGAAUUGUAAUUGAAAUGCAUUGCAACCAAUUUGUAAAUGUUGGUACACAUUAUCCAUCAUUGUUAUGCUAUUAUGCUAUUAACAUAAAUUAUCACAUAGAGGUAAUUUAAAACUGUUAACUGACACAGGUAUAUCUUAUUCCUGGUGAUAAUUACACAUAAAAAAGGAGGUCAGGCUAAAUGUUGCAUGGUAUUAUUGCAUAGACUAUUGAUGGACAGUAGUGAUUAAGUGAUGCUAGCAUUGAAAAAUUACUUUGUUCCUAGCAUUUCCAUCAUUUCCAUUAGUUUUCUCUUUUAUAUGAAUUUAAGAUAUCAUAUUCAAACAAACAAUAGAUUUUUCUUAAAAAUACUCUUUGGGGGCUAACUUUUCUGAAGUUUCCAUUCUGCUUCAUACUAAUUUAAUAUUGCUUUUAAUGAGUUUUUGUUUCACUUUUUUUAGCUGCAUACUCAGAAGACAUUUCCUGUAAAAAGUUAGAAGACACUAACUCAUUACCAGUGAAUUCUUUGUUAAGUACAUGAAUUCUCAACUCAUUUGUGUAGUGAUGAAUUGGGUCCUGUAUUCUUAAGUAAAUUAGUACCAAAAAUAAUAGGCUUAGGCUUCAGAAGUGAAUAUUCACUAUGACGAAGGGAACUGGGGGGUGUGGGCAAAUUCCGUACUGAUGCUGUGAUACUGUGAAGAAAGAUUUUCUGUGGAGUCUCUCAGAUUAGGUGGCUUUGGGGAUAUAACUAAUGAAAGGGAACUCAAGACUGAUGACAGAUGGGAGAUAAAGCCAGAUGAGGAGCGUUGGAUUUUUCCGAUUUAAGCUUUGAAAAUCUUAAAUGCUUGAAGCUUCUCAGCCGGAGGUUAGGCUGUCAAUGAAUAUCACAGUGGAAAUGCUGGACAAGUGUCAUUCCUGGAAACGGUCUCUGAGAUCUUAGUACCACCAGAUGUCGGGGACAAAAUGUAAAAUGACAAAUAGGCCCUCAAAGGAAUAAUGUGCUCUCAUUUCGUCUCACCCCAAAACGUUCCAUCAAUUCUAGGACCGUUGAGUCUGUGAAAGUCUUGUGUUACGAGUAUUUAUGAGAUGAGUAUGAAACAACACACGUGACUUCUAGAAGCUGUGAAAUGGGGAGGCCUAGACGGAAUUCUUGGUGCUCAGGCCAGAAGAUAUUUGCACAUAAACUUAUAGAGGACACAGUACACGAAUUCCUGGUUAUUCUCAAAGGUAGCGUGCUAAAUGCUGAGUCAGGACAUGGUGGAGGUGCUUCUGCGUGACAAGUUCUAACAUAAUCGUGAGGGAUGAAAGAUGUGUAUCAUCAAAAUGGCUCUUGAAAACUCUAGAAAGUUGACGCCCAAGACACCCUCUUCCUAAAUCCAGUGCUGCCGCUCUCUCCCCAGCUUGGGUAGAUCAGUGUUUCUCUGCACCUCAGAGGCAGGGGGCACCCUCUACUUAGGGUCACAAUGCACAAGGAGGAUAAAUGCGAAAACACUAGAAUCAGAGUCAACGGAGCAAGGAGAGUCACAUGAUGAGCGGUGCCUAAGAACUGGGGCAGGUUGAAGGAACAGCUUUUCAUCUUCUCCUGUUCCACCUACAAUCCCUCAGGGAUUUCCACGCACUGAGGGAAAUUGCCAACAUGGCUGGACUAAAUGAGUUAUUUAUUUAUUGCUAUUAUUAUUAAUUUUUAAUAGUUACUUCCCCAAUACAAUUUUUUUUCUACUGUACAGCAUGGUGACCGAGUUACACAUACAUGUACACCUUCUAUUUUUGCACAUUAUCAUGCUCCAUCAUAAGUGACUAGACAUAGUUCCCAGGGCUACACAGCAGGAUCUCAUUGCUAUUCCAUUCCAAAGGCAAUAGUUUGUAUCUAUUAACCUCCAGCUCCCCAACCACCUCACUCCCUCCCCCUCCCCCUUGGCAAUCACAAGUCUAUUCUCCAAGUCCAUGAUUUUCUUUUCUGUGGGAAGGUUCAUUUGUGCCUUAUAUUAGAUUCCAGAUAUAAAUGAUAUCAUAUGGUAUUUGUCUUUCUCUUUCUGACUUACUUCACUCAGGAUGAGAGUCUCUAGUUCCCUCCAUGGUGCUGCAAAUGGCAUUAUUUUGUUCUUUUUUAUGCCUGAGUAGCAUUCCAUUGUGUAUAUAUACCACAUCUUCCUAAUCCAAUUACCUGUUGAUGGACAUUUGGGUUGUUUCCAUGUCUUGGCUAUUGUGAAUAGUGCUGCAAUGAACAUGUGGGUGCAUGUGUCUUUUUUAAGGAAAGUUUUGUCUGGAUAUAUGCCCAAGAGUGGGAUUUCUGGGUCAUAUGGUAGUUCUAUGCAUAGAUUUCUAAGGUAUCUCCAUACUGUUCUCCAUAGUGGUUGUACCAGCUUACAUUCCCACCAAGAGUGCAGGAGGGUUCCCUUUUCUCCACAUCCUCUCCAGCCUUUGUUAUUUGUGGCCUUAUUAAUGAUGGCCAUUCUGACUGCCUCACGGUAGUUUCGAUUUGCAUUUCUCUAAUGGUCAGUGAUGUUGAGCAUUUUUUCAUGUGCUUGUUGGCCAUCUGUAUAUCUUCUUUGGAAAAACGUCUAUUCAGGUUUUUUGCCCAUUUUCCCAUUGGGUUGUUGGCUUUCUUGCUGUUGAGUUGUAUAAGUUGCUUGUAUAUUCUAGAGAUAAAGCCCUUGUCAGUCACAUCACUGAAUGCGUUAAAUAGUAUCUUUCCCUUUCUUCUCUUUUCUCCCUCUCUUUUCUCUCCCCUUCCCACUGUAUGCCACCUCUCCACUAUUAACUCUCAACAGAGCAUUAUUCAGCAUCACCCUGACAGUCUCUUUGAGGCAGAACAGAAACACUAAGACUUUCAAAAACCAUAUAUGUCAUCUAUUCUCAGCUCUAAGAUCUCUAAUUUUUCAAACCUCCACACCUCUUAUUUUAUGUUAGUAGGGACUCUAAAAGUUUUUGUAGGUCAGACUUUUUGAGUUGAUUCUAAAAGCUAAGGACCCUUUCCCAGAAAAAUGUAUUAUGAACAUGCAAACUUAAUUAAACAAAAAUCUGGAUCCAUGCAUGGUCCCACAACUUUUAAAUUAGAUUCUCUAGGCCACCACAGGUUUCUCCUUCAACCAGCAGGUGGUUCACCUUCUUCUGAUCAAUCCUAUAUCAUCUUUUUAUCCUCUAUCAUCAUUUUAUCCUAUAUCAUCCUUUUAGCAGGGACCUAUAAGGAUGAUAAGAAUAAGAAUGUUAAUACUGAAUAGCUAACAUUCCUUAAGUGCUUAGAUGUGUACAGACACUAGCCUGAGUUAACAUAUUUACCAUCUGUCACAACCUGAUGACAAAUGUACUGUUAUCCUCAUUUUACUGUUAAGGAAACUGAGGUAGAGGGAGGCUGAGAAAUUCAUCCAAGAUCAUACAGCUAGGAAGUGGCUGAGUCAGAAAGUCUGGUUUGAGAGUCCAGGCUCUUAAGCCACUCUGCAAUACUACUUUGCAGUAUAAAACUAAUUGGGUGUCUUUUCUAUUUGGUAAAAAAUAGGAGAGGAGUUCCCAUUGUGGCACAGCAGAAAUGAAUCCAACUGGUACCCAUGUGAAUUUGAUGCAGGUUCAAAUCCUUAGUCUAGCUCAGUAGAUCAGGGAUUUGGUGUUGCCCUGAGCUGUGGUGCAGGUCACAGAUGUGGUUCAGAUCCCGAGUUGCUGUGGCUGUGUUGUAGGCCGGCAGCUACAGCUCCUAUUCAACCCCUAGCCUGGGAACCUCCAUAGGCUGAGGGUGCAGCCCUAAAAAAAAAAAAAAAGAGAGAAAAAAAAAAGAAAAAAAGAAAAAGAAGAGAAGAUGACCUUGGCUCUUCAGUCACCAAACUGUGACUCUGUGACAGUGGUCUUUCUACAAAGUCUUCCCUCCUUUAAAGAGAAUCUGCUUCCUCAGCACUUGAAGCUGGAAGAUGACCUAAAACUCAUCUAGCUGGUGUUACAGUCAGUCCCCUUGGUCAGCACUUCAACUGAUUUCUAGCAGUUUUACAGUCUGAUUCUGGAUUCCUAAAAGGACUGUGCCUACUUUCCAGAACAAUUUAAUUACACAUUACUAUUUGUUUCACAAUCAAAAACAUGAUAUUAUUUAGGACACUUGGUUGAGAGUAUCAGGGAUUUAACUUGCAAUGACUUUAGGAAGAAAAGAAAAAAAUGAUUGGCUCGUGAUCUCCCAAGACCUACUGAAGAGUGAAGUCAUGGAAAAACACAGAUGCUAAUACUGAUGGAUAUAGCUGGUACUCAUCUGCCUUUCCCCUUACUCAUUUUCUCUUACUUCCAACUGGCUUUUUUCAAAUGGCUGGAAACAUAAACCACAAUAUCUUACAUGUUUUGUAUUUUACAUCUUCUCCCAAAAAAGGAGACAGUUUUGUCACUUUCUUCACGUCUAGUUCAAGAAUCUAAGACAAUAUGUCUUACAUUUUAUGGACCCAACUUGGGCUUAUUUUCCACCCCUGAAAUAAAUUAAUGUGAUUUGGGAUAGAGGGAUUAGACCGUGUGAAAACACAUAGUCCCAUAGAAAUCGGUGGAUAAAUAGGAAAGGAGAAGUUCCCAGGAAAAGGGAAAGAGUGAUGAAGGGAUAAUACUUGUGGGAUGAUUACAAAAGGAAAUUCAAUUAAAUCUAUUUGUUUGAAGUUAGCAUUAAAUUACAUGGGUCCAUCAGGCAGAGGGAUUGACAACAUCUCUUGUUUUAUACAGACAGAUGAAUUCAUGGGGGAAAAUGGUGUGCAAAUCAAAUUUGUGUUAAUUCAAUAAAUAAGUGACUAUUUGAACAAUUUUUUAUUAUAAAUAUUUCAGCAAGGAGUUCCUGUUGUGGCACAGUGGUGGCGAAUCCGACUAGGAAUCAUCAAGUUGCGGGUUCAAUCCCUGGCCUCGAUCAUUAGGUUAAGGAUCCGGCAUGGUCAUGAGCUGUGGUGUGGGUUGCAGAUGUGGCUCAGAUCCUGCGUUGCUGUGGCUGUGGCAUGGGCCAGCAGCUGUGGUUCCAAUUGGACCCCUAACCUGUGAACCUCCAUGUGCUGUAGGUGUGGCC
This 5323-nucleotide long non-coding RNA is filed under the name Sus scrofa (pig). RNAcentral describes it as "lncRNA (ENSSSCG00000055077.1)". The record is from RNAcentral. Lineage: Eukaryota; Metazoa; Chordata; Mammalia; Artiodactyla; Suidae.